AAAGCUGUACAUUAUUGUUAUGCAAGUCUCUAAUGUUUUAUCCACCUCCACCCCCACCCAAAUUUCUUCUAGACAAAUCAUUAUAUUUCAUCCCAUAAAUAUAUUCUACAUUUUUCAUCUUUACACGAAGGCAAUACAUAGAAGACAGUGGUGACCAGGGAAGGCUAUUUUGGACUCAGAAAUCACAGAGAAGGCUGAUUCAUUCUCUAAUCUUCACUUGGAUUGACUGAGGAGUUGGAGGAAGUCUGGAGAGAGAACUGAACUUGGUACUUGUCACCUGGGGAAUUGGAUCUAAUGGCAGUUCUUGAAAUCCCCGGGAGCCAAGUACUAUUAUUAGUCACAUUUAACAGCUGAGGAAACUGAAGCCAACAGAGGUGAAGUGACUUGCCCAGGAUCACACAGGUGAUACGUUUCUAAGGUGGGAUAUGAACUCUGUUCCUCCUGACUUCAGACCUAGUGAUCUACAUACUGCAAUUCCUAGCUUCCAUUAUUUAUUAAAAUUGUUAGAAUUUCUUAUACAUCGCAUCUAGAUGCCCUUUUAAUAAUUAAUUGUUUUCUGACAUUUUGUAGUUCAUGUUCUCUCCCUCCCUUUCACAGCAGGUAAUAUAAUAUAGGUUGUACAUGAACUAUCAUGCAAUACAUAUGUCCAAUGUGGGCUUUAAAAUUAAUAUUCAAUAACUAUUAUAUUUUACACAUUUUUAUUAGUAAUAACUAAAAUUUGUAAAAGUUACCUGAAUUCAGUCUGGUCACAGGUCAAAGAGAGGCAGAAGGAGGAGUUACCACCACUUAAAUACAAUUGUGUAAAACCUGAGGACAGAGAAAAAGGGAAAAGGAUUCUAGGUAACAGAAAAGAAUUUUGGGUAAUGUAGUUCUUUUUUUGAGGUCCAAGAAUUUCUAACUAUACACCAUGCUUAUUAUUUUGUGAAGUGAGAUGCAAAUCGUUUAUACU
Molecule: non-coding RNA, 949 nt
Organism: Monodelphis domestica (gray short-tailed opossum)
Lineage: Eukaryota; Metazoa; Chordata; Mammalia; Didelphimorphia; Didelphidae
Source: RefSeq, a predicted model, not a curated record